Molecule: ribosomal RNA, 482 nt
Filed under: uncultured bacterium
Lineage: Bacteria
Description: bacterial SSU rRNA
Rfam family: Bacterial small subunit ribosomal RNA
Source: RNAcentral
CUACGUGCCAGCAGCCGCGGUAAUACGUAGGGCGCGAGCGUUGUCCGGAAUUAUUGGGCGUAAAGGGCUUGUAGGCGGUUGGUCGCGUCUGCCGUGAAAUCCUCUGGCUUAACUGGGGGCGUGCGGUGGGUACGGGCUGACUUGAGUGCGGUAGGGGAGACUGGAACUCCUGGUGUAGCGGUGGAAUGCGCAGAUAUCAGGAAGAACACCGGUGGCGAAGGCGGGUCUCUGGGCCGUUACUGACGCUGAGGAGCGAAAGCGUGGGGAGCGAACAGGAUUAGAUACCCUGGUAGUCCACGCUGUAAACGUUGGGCACUAGGUGUGGGGGCCACCCGUGGUUUCUGCGCCGUAGCUAACGCUUUAAGUGCCCCGCCUGGGGAGUACGGCCGCAAGGCUAAAACUCAAAGGAAUUGACGGGGGCCCGCACAAGCGGAGGAACAUGUGGUUUAAUUCGAUGAUACGCGAGGAACCUUACCCGGGCU